GAUGAACGCUGGCGGCGUGCUUAACACAUGCAAGUCGAACGGAAAGGCUCCUGCUUGCAGGGGUACUCGAGUGGCGAACGGGUGAGUAACACGUGGGUGAUCUGCCCUGCACUUCGGGAUAAGCCUGGGAAACUGGGUCUAAUACCGGAUAGGACGAUGGUUUGGAUGCCAUUGUGGAAAGUUUUUCGGUGUGGGAUGAGCUCGCGGCCUAUUAGCUUGUUGGUGGGGUAAUGGCCUACCAAGGCGUCGACGGGUAGCCGGCCUGAGAGGGUGUACGGCCACAUUGGGACUGAGAUACGGCCCAGACUCCUACGGGAGGCAGCAGUGGGGAAUAUUGCACAAUGGGCGCAAGCCUGAUGCAGCGACGCCGCGUGGGGGAAGACGGCCUUCGGGUUGUAAACUCCUUUCGCUAGGGACGAAGCGCAAGUGACGGUACCUGGAGAAGAAGCACCGGCUAACUACGUG
Molecule: ribosomal RNA, 465 nt
Filed under: uncultured bacterium
Lineage: Bacteria
Description: partial 16S ribosomal RNA
Rfam family: Bacterial small subunit ribosomal RNA
Source: RNAcentral